RNAcentral lists this ribosomal RNA (450 nucleotides) under uncultured bacterium. RNAcentral describes it as "partial 16S ribosomal RNA". It matches the Rfam family "Bacterial small subunit ribosomal RNA", at positions 354 to 796 of the family's 1533-position model. The record is from RNAcentral.
GUGGGGAAUCUUCCGCAAUGGACGAAAGUCUGACGGAGCAACGCCGCGUGAGUGAAGAAGGUUUUCGGAUCGUAAAGCUCUUUCGUUAGGGACGAACGUGCUCUUUGUGAAUAAUGAGGAGUAAUGACGGUACCUAAAUAAGAAGCCACGGCUAACUACGUGCCAGCAGCCGCGGUAAUACGUAGGUGGCAAGCGUUGUCCGGAAUUAUUGGGAGUAAAGCGCGCGCAGGCGGGAUAUCAAGUCUGUCUUAAAAGUGCGAGGCUCAACCUCGUGAGGGGACAGAAACUGGUAUUCUUGAGUGUAGGAGAGGAAAGUGGAAUUCCAAGUGUAGCGGUGAAAUGCGUAGAGAUUUGGAAGAACACCAGUGGCGAAGGCGACUUUCUGGACGAUGUCUGACGCUGAGGCGCGAAAGCUAGGGGAGCGAACGGGAUUAGAAACCCUAGUAGUCC